Molecule: ribosomal RNA, 429 nt
Filed under: Acidobacteriota bacterium
Lineage: Bacteria; Pseudomonadati; Acidobacteriota
Description: Acidobacteria bacterium partial 16S ribosomal RNA
Rfam family: Bacterial small subunit ribosomal RNA
Source: RNAcentral
UGGGGAAUUUUGGACAAUGGGGGAAACCCUAAUCCAGCCAUCCCGCGUGUGCGAUGAAGGCCUUCGGGUUGUAAAGCACUUUUGGCAGGAAAGAAACGUCAUGGGUUAAUACCCCGUGAAACUGACGGUACCUGCAGAAUAAGCACCGGCUAACUACGUGCCAGCAGCCGCGGUAAUACGUAGGGUGCAAGCGUUAAUCGGAAUUACUGGGCGUAAAGCGUGCGCAGGCGGUUCGGAAAGAAAGAUGUGAAAUCCCAGAGCUCAACUUUGGAACUGCAUUUUUAACUACCGGGCUAGAGUGUGUCAGAGGGAGGUGGAAUUCCGCGUGUAGCAGUGAAAUGCGUAGAUAUGCGGAGGAACACCGAUGGCGAAGGCAGCCUCCUGGGAUAACACUGACGCUCAUGCACGAAAGCGUGGGGAGCAAACAGG